Doryrhamphus excisus (bluestripe pipefish) is the source of this 1531-nucleotide non-coding RNA. The record is from RefSeq and is a predicted model, not a curated record. NCBI's taxonomy places the organism in Eukaryota, Metazoa, Chordata, Actinopteri, Syngnathiformes, Syngnathidae.
AUAUUUCUUUAAAGGGAUCAAUAUGAGCAAUAUCAAUGCAUUUUUUCCGCAACAUGAUGCACGCAAACACAGCAAAGUUAUGUUUUAAUAAAUGGGAGGGACAGUCCCGUGAACGCAACACCAACUCAGGUAAAACAGAUUUCCUGCCCCGUUCACGGACAGAAGUAUCGUUGAAGUGGACUUUGAAGUGUAUCAUGGGAAACAUGUCGCUGCGGUUAGGCUACCUCCCUGCUCCUAGCCGCGGCCUCACGUUUGUUCACAUCGCGGCCUUACAAGCCAGGAAAAAAAAUGAAUUUUUAUAAUCCAGGCGACGCUACGGGAAGGCUACACCCAAAGUUUGCUAGCUUAAACUUUGCCAUCCAAUCACUCCCAACUCACCCGACACUUGAUGGCUCGUCGCGGGGAGAAGUGAGUCGACUAGGCCGACAAGUGCGCCAUUCAACCGAGCGCUGUUAAGUCCUCCAGAUGUCUGUGAAGUUUUAGUUUGGCGUUUUUUUCCCUUCCUUCUAUCGCCAGUUUGAGGAGUCUUUCCAGGCUUGGUGUUAUUACCAUGGGCGGAGCAGGGAGUUCCUGUCCGGGCUCUGACAGGAAACUGAGCCGAGUGAGGCGGCCACACACUGGAGCCUGCCCCCGCCAGCCUCAGCCAAGGUGAAGCUAAAGGAAUGUACAUUGUUACUAUGCGGGCUCACAAAAACAUAAACACACAAUAAACUCAUUUUGAUAAGGGGUUAUUACUCCGGGUUUCUUUAUUAGUUUGUGACUUAGCAGACUAGUUUAACAUUGGGGUCUACUGUGCCAGUGACACACCAUAUCCACUAGAUGGCCUUAUUUUCGAGGUGGGCGUAUCGAUCCAAAUAUCGAUCUUCUGAGUUUGAAAAAUGUCCAAGAAAAAGCAUCGUUAUCGACGAUACUAUACCUGUAUUUACAGUAUUUGGGAUUGAAUACCAAAAUGUGUAGUAUGCCCACCUUAUUAGUAAUGUGCAUUACCGCCACCUACAGGACCGGAGUGGAACAGUGAAACGUUAUUUUUACAUUGGCUACAGCUAUGCUGUAGUUUUGCCUUUGAAAUAAACCAAUAAAUGGCUAUAAUGUCGUUUAAUGCAUAUAUAUUUACAUUUUGAUUGUAUUCCAGUUCUAGUUAAAAACAUUAAAAACUGUUAUGAUUGUUUUCAUAUAUUGAUAAUAUUCCCUCAGUACAUACACCAAAAAUGUUAUUGGUGAAACAAAAUGCCUAAAUCCCUUGAUAAAUGCAACCAUGCCGUAAGGCCCACAGCUUGUUUUUAUGUACCUGUGGAAUUCUUUACAGAAAAUAUUGAAUAUUGCACAGAACAAUUACAUGCAGAGUGGGAAAAUGAUUGUUUUGAAGUUAAAAUAACUUUGGAGAAAAUUGUACAUGUUUCAGACAUUCAACAAAAGUAAAUAAGGGAUGGCAUUGAAUGCACCAUGACUUGAAUGUACACAUUUCAAAUUAAAAUCUGAUUCAUUUUCUUUGUUAAAGAGCUACAAAAAUAUGUAAUAUGGAAUUGGUAUG